CAGCAGCCGCGGGAAUACGAAGGGGGCUAGCGUUGCUCGGAACGACUGGGCGUAAAGGGCGCGUAGGCGGAUUGUUUAGUUAGGCGUGAAAUUCCUGGGCUUAACCUGGGGACUGCGCUUAAUACAGGCAGUCUAGAGUGAGGAAGAGGGUUGUGGAAUUCCCAGUGUAGAGGUGAAAUUCGUAGAUAUUGGGAAGAACACCGGUGGCGAAGGCGGCGACCUGGUCCUUUACUGACGCUGAGGCGCGAAAGCGUGGGGAGCAAACAGGAUUAGAUACCCGUGUAGUCCCUGUCUCUUAUAC
This 301-nucleotide ribosomal RNA is filed under the name uncultured bacterium. RNAcentral's name for it is "partial 16S ribosomal RNA". It matches the Rfam family "Bacterial small subunit ribosomal RNA", at positions 509 to 807 of the family's 1533-position model. The record is from RNAcentral.